Molecule: ribosomal RNA, 253 nt
Filed under: uncultured bacterium
Lineage: Bacteria
Description: partial 16S ribosomal RNA
Rfam family: Bacterial small subunit ribosomal RNA
Source: RNAcentral
UACGUAGGGUGCGAGCGUUAAUCGGAAUUACUGGGCGUAAAGCGUGCGCAGGCGGUUCGUUGUGUCGGCGGUGAAAGCCCCGGGCUUAACCUGGGAAUGGCCGUCGAAACUGGCGAACUGGAGUGUGGCAGAGGGGGGUGGAAUUCCGCGUGUAGCAGUGAAAUGCGUAGAGAUGCGGAGGAACACCAAAGGCGAAGGCAGUGUCCUGGGGAGUACCUGACGCUCAGGUGCGAAAGCCAGGGGAGCGAACGGG